UUAUGUCAAUUUGAUCCUAUCCAUCGUUGAUAGUAUAAAAACCCCUAAACCUAAAAGAAAGAUAACAACCAAGAUUUGGAUCUCUUCCCCCUCUCUUCUUCUCAGCUACGGCCGUAAUCACAAGAAUUCCUUUAAUCAUGGAAAAGAUUGUUGAUUAAAUCACAUAUCACAAUGAUGUCUCUUCUCAAAACUCAAAGUUUAUAUUGAUCCGUCGGAACCCAAGGACCUGGAAUUACAAGCCAGGUGGUCAAGAUUGAUGUUGGCACAAGAUCGUGCGACAUCUGAGGAGGAAAAACUAUCGGUCAAGCGCCAGAAAGAAGAGUUGAACGCUGCAGCUGAUGAGAGGCUGAGAGAGUUGAGAUCGAAGGCGGUCGGUACUCCGAGUCUGCGGCGGCUAACACUUACUGAGGUGAAUAAGAAGCAGAAGAAAAUCCAGAAACGGUCGGCGUGGGCCUCAAAGAACGCUGAGAAGUGCAUAAAGGCAUUCGAAGAGUAUUUGAAAAAGAAAGAGGAUGGCAAGUGAUAAGUGUCUAGGCUUCCUGAUCAUAUAUUGUAUUUGUAAUAGCUUUUUUACAUUUUCCGAGCUUUUUCUAUCGGGAGAGGAGAGAUUGAACUAGAGAUGUUUGAAGUUGUUUGUUUCUUAAAAGUAAUCAACUAGAUCUGAUAUAUUGGUAAUCAA
Papaver somniferum (opium poppy) is the source of this 679-nucleotide long non-coding RNA. RefSeq lists it as uncharacterized. NCBI's taxonomy places the organism in Eukaryota, Viridiplantae, Streptophyta, Magnoliopsida, Ranunculales, Papaveraceae. The transcript is spliced from 2 exons. The record is from RefSeq and is a predicted model, not a curated record.